This 392-nucleotide ribosomal RNA is filed under the name uncultured bacterium. RNAcentral's name for it is "partial 16S ribosomal RNA". It matches the Rfam family "Bacterial small subunit ribosomal RNA", at positions 523 to 918 of the family's 1533-position model. The record is from RNAcentral.
AUACGGAGGAUCCGAGCGUUAUCCGGAUUUAUUGGGUUUAAAGGGUGCGCAGGCGGCCAUUUAAGUCAGCGGUUAAAUCGCGGGGCUCAACCCCAUUCUGCCGUUGAUACUGGGUGGCUUGAUUGCGGUCGAGGUUGGCGGAAUUCGUUGUGUAGCGGGGAAAUGCAUAGAUAUGACGAAGAACACCGAUUGCGUAGGCAGCUGACCAGACCGCAAAUGACGCUCAUGCACGAAAGUGCGGGGAUCGAACAGGAUUAGAUACCCUGGUAGUCCGCACAGUAAACGAUGAAUACUUGUUUUCGGCGAUAUAAUGUCGGAGGCAAAGUGAAAGCGAUAAGUAUUCCACCUGGGGAGUACGCCGGCAACGGUGAAACUCAAAUGAAUUGACGGGG